This 396-nucleotide long non-coding RNA is filed under the name Gallus gallus (chicken). The record is from RNAcentral. Lineage: Eukaryota; Metazoa; Chordata; Aves; Galliformes; Phasianidae.
GAACAAUUGGAAAGUAUGAUCAGCUUUAGAAAAUUAAAAUGGAAAAUUAUCAGAACGGAAGAAUGAACCAUUUUCAUCCAUGACUUCACAUGGACUGUUUGAGUAUAGAGCCAGGUGAAACUGAAUUGUGAAUGAAAGUAUCUAGAAAUCCCAGAUGAGACUUUUAAAUCCAAGUAAGUUUGAAGCCACUUGAACUUUUCUAAGAUUCACUCCAGCAGCUUAUUUGCACUGAACACAGAAGUCUGAGGCAAGAAUGAGAAGAGACUAAAACGCACCAUAGGUCUAAGCCAGAAACUUUGAACUCAGAUAGAGGGCUGUCAGUUUGGCACAGCUGGGAGAAAGUGGAGUGCAGUAGUUCUAAAUCUUUGGGACUUUGGUGAAGGAUUAUUAUGAAAC